AUGAGGCGUGAAGGGAGGGACGCGCGCGGCCACGCUCCCCGCAGGACGCGGCUCCGGACCCGGCGUCGGGGCUCCGCGGGACCCAGGUGUUCCCGAGGGGAAGAAACUGGCAGAAAGUGGACGCCUCCGCCCGCUGCCCCCCCCCCCCCACACACACACACAGGUAACGGCACCACAGCUGCCUUCCGCACACGCGGCUCCCGGCGCCAACGCCAACGCCUCCGCGCCCUCCGGGACCCUCCGACCCCGGCUCAAGCUCCUCCCCGCCCGCGGGCCCCGGCGGGAGCGGCGGCGGCGGCGGCGGGGAGCGGGGAGCGGGGAGCGGGCCGCGCUCGCUGCCAUUGGCUGUGCGGCCCGAGGGGCGGGGGCCCCGCAGUCCCGCCGGCUCCGCGGCCCCGGCUCCCGCCCGCCCUCCCGCAGCCGGUGCGCUCGAGCCCUGCGCUCCCCGGACGGCCGCGCGGGGGCGGGGCGCCGAGGCGGGGGCGGGGGCGGGGCGCGGCGGGGCGCGGGCGGGGCGCGGGCGGGGAGCUCAGCGCAGCUCCAGUCCGGGCCGGGCCGGCGCGCCGCGGGAGGGGAGGUCGCCGCGCGCGGGCUCGCAGGUCAGUGCAGGCUCCCGGCGCCGCCUCGAGCGGGGCGGGGCGUGGGGGCCGGGGCCGGGGCGGGGGCCGGGGCGCCGGGCCCUGGGGGCGGGCUCGCCCUCCGCGGGGAGCGCCCUGCCUCCUCUCCUGGGGCGGCCUCCGCUCCCUCCGAGCGCCCCCCCCGCGGCUCUCCGCGGCUCCCAGGGGUGUGGCUCCGUCCUGGGAGCCCCCUGAGUGCAUCCCCUCGGCGGCCAGCAGGCUCCGCGGGUCGGCGGUCGCGAUCCUCGGGAGGACCCGGCGGGGCUGCGCAGGGCCGCGGCCCCGGGACGACCCGCUCCUGUCCCGGACACAGCCGGGAGGAUCUGCCCUCGCGAGCGCUGCUGCAAGCAUUGAUUCCGCCGUCAAGUGUAGGCAGUUCCACACUUUGCGGAACGCGCUUCUAGGUGCAUCUGUUUGCUUUUGCCUUUGUGGUGUGUGCGGUCACCUCUGUUUGUUUUGCUUCUAUCCGGGUUUACAGGGUCGUCUGUCCCCUCCGGGCACUCCCCGCGUGCACUGCCGGCCUUGCACCUUCGCGCGCCCGCAGAGCCUUUGCACCCGUCUUAGGUGCUUCAAAUCCGGGCAGAAUGCUCUGAAGAGAUUGACACAUGUUCAUGGUUCUCAUUAAAGAAGCUUCAUGUAAGUGACAAAGGACACCUGAUCCCCUGCUGCCUUUGUUGGAAAACGAAGAAGUUUUGUUGUGCUGAUUUAACUGCCUGCAAUCUUUGCUGAUGCGAUCAUAAAAAAAAAAAAAAAAUGCUGAUUCUGUCCUUUUUAACCCCUGUGUGAAACUGACUUUUAACAUACUUGUGCAUUCUUUGAUCCUCCAUAAAGAUGUCUGAACCUGACUCUUCAUCUGUAUUUUCGG
Molecule: long non-coding RNA, 1482 nt
Filed under: Canis lupus familiaris (dog)
Lineage: Eukaryota; Metazoa; Chordata; Mammalia; Carnivora; Canidae
Description: lncRNA (ENSCAFG00040009973.1)
Source: RNAcentral